UUUAACAUAGCCCACACCCACCCUCGAGCUCCUCUCUUCUACCCUGCAGCUCUUCUACCCUGCAGCCCCACGUUGUCCGCCGUCGAAGUCGAUGCCAUUAGCCGCCGAAGUCCCUUUAGAUCAUCGCACCGUCGAAGUCAAUUUCUGUAAGAUUCAUCACACCGUUCCACGAUCUGAGCGCGUUUUCUGUCAGGUCAAAGUCCGUUCGCUCCAUUGAGAUCCGUUCAGAUCUCAUGCUGUUUUGCGGUCGAAUUCCUCUGUGGGUUCGUGUCGUUCUUGCGUCGAUCUCUAGGUCUCGUGAUCCAUUGCUGCCAUGGGGAUUGUUGAGGUUACCUUGAACGGGUCUACAAAUAAGAACGCAGACACUAAAUUGAUGAGAGGCUUGAAGGAUGUAUUAGAAUUGAUUCAUCAGGACUCGUCUGCUAAUGUUGGUAUUUUAAUUUCACUAGUUUGAUUCCUGGGGUUUACUGUGUUGGGUUUGAUUUGUAGGGUAAUUAACCAACUUUCUUUUUCAUCUCAAUAAGAUUAAAAAAAAAAGGGUAUUUUGAACUAUUUUGGUUCUUCAUCAACUAGCAGUAAUGGUCACUGGGUAAGAUAGCUUAAAAUUUUCAUUUCACAAACGCAAGACCUUUAAUGAAUAUUCAAAAGCUCGUCGUGCCACAUUUUCAUAUUUAGAGUUUUGUUUAGACGUGUCAAUUAUGAUUUUUUAAAUCAGUUUUGUAUCAUGAUUAUAAGUUGAAGAUGUAAAACCCCCUUCAUUUCUAUGCUUAUAAUAUAUUUUCUAUCAUGGACUUUCUCUAGUUUGACUCUAGUUCUCCUGUAGUUGAAGGAGCAGCAGAUGGUGGACUUGGACUUACCGCUUGGCAUGUGCUUUUGUUUUCAUUGUUUAUGAAAAUUUAUUAGUUAUUCUUGUAAUGUCAAAUGCAUCAAAUUUUAACCAGCUUGUUUUGGAGAAAAAAUUAUCUGACAUGUUCUUUGUUGGCUUUAGACAGCUCUUCCUGUAUGGUCCAAACAAGAUUGCCGGAUGGAUUUCAACACAAAAUGUGAUAGCCAGCCAGCCAGCCUAGCUGCUUCUUUUUUUCCUUAUAUUCUGAAAUGGCCCUACUGCUGUACGACUCCAAACAGCGUACUGUUAUGCCAUGUUUUGCACGAGCUCAUCUCUGUGAUACAACUUGUUCUCCCUUUUGCUUAUAUUUGGCAGAUCCCAAAAGUUAUUUUGAUAUUAGUUUGAGAAAAAAUACUUCAUUCCUAACUGUUUGAAGAUUUAUGACUUCAUGAUAUUGCUGCAUUAUUGCAGGGUACAAAAACAGCACUGAAUUUACUUGUCGGCAAAUUUUGCACUUCCAUAACUAGACGCAGCUGCAAUAGGCUGGACAUUGGAAGUGGAGUAUAGUGAUUCUAUCAAAGGUUAAUAAUACCAUGUGAAGCACUACUGAUCGGUGUCUAAAGGGAAGAAAGUGAAAGAAGGAUUUGGGAUCGUUGAGUGGAACAUAGUGGCUGCACAAAGAAAGGCCUCGUAAAAAGGAUGCUUGCUUUGUUAAGCGUCCAAUGUUUAUGUGGAGCUGUCAUUGUUGGGAAAUCCAAUAUUCAUGAAGUUAGGGGAGGAUCGGCAAUCAACUUCUCAAGAAUGUGCUGUUUCAGCCAAAUUGUAAAACUCUUAUUAUGUUUGUUUGCAUACUAAAUCUCCGAUAUAUUAGGGUUAUCCCACUUAAGCUUGGCCAUGUGAAUUUCUACAUACUCCUUAACCUCUACAGAGUUGUGUAGUACAUAUAAAUGUGCUUGUUCCCAUUAUAAGUUGUAGAUUGUAACUACUUUAUUGCCCA
Molecule: long non-coding RNA, 1823 nt
Organism: Prosopis cineraria
Lineage: Eukaryota; Viridiplantae; Streptophyta; Magnoliopsida; Fabales; Fabaceae
Exons: 5
Source: RefSeq, a predicted model, not a curated record